GCCCCAGACCUUUCCCUCUCCUGAGCUCCCUUUGUCUUGGUCCCUCUCCCGUUGCCUGGUAACAGCCCUCCCCUUCACCAGCUCCGCGGAAACCAUAGCAACGGGCAGCCGGGAGAUGCGGCCAUUCCUCUCCCUUUUGUCCAUUGCAUUUCAGCAGCGCCCGCGCACAUGGACGCUCCAAUUACAGCUCUAGAGGCUAGAAGUUGGCAGUCAGGAUGUGUGUAAGGCCACGCUCCCUCUGAAGACUCCAGGGGAGGAUCUUUGCUUGCCUCCUCCAGCUUCUGGUGGCUGCCAGCAUCCUUGGCAUUCCUUGGCCUGUGGACACAUCACUCUCAUCUCUGCCCAUGAUCAUAACCCCAAGCUCCAGAAUACAGACCAGCAGGCGAGGAGACAAGGAGGCAAGCAGAUGGAUGGCAGAACAAAGUGGCAGAGAGAGAAGAGGAGAGAUGUCUGGACGCCAAGAGGAGUCUGGCUGGGGCCGGUCAGAGAAGAGUCCAGCGGCUGGGCAGCCCGACUCCAGGGGAAGAUCACCUUCCCACUCCAUCCCCCUUCAUGCUCCCCAUCCAUCUCACUAAGAGCCAUCUCUACCACUCAAUAAAACCUUGCACUCAUCCUUCAAA
This is a long non-coding RNA of Gorilla gorilla gorilla (western lowland gorilla), 620 nucleotides long. RefSeq lists it as uncharacterized. The transcript has 3 exons. The record is from RefSeq and is a predicted model, not a curated record. NCBI's taxonomy places the organism in Eukaryota, Metazoa, Chordata, Mammalia, Primates, Hominidae.